RNAcentral lists this transfer RNA (72 nucleotides) under Kitasatospora sp. GAS204B. RNAcentral's name for it is "tRNA-Cys". It matches the Rfam family "tRNA". From Rfam's summary of the family: Transfer RNA (tRNA) molecules are approximately 80 nucleotides in length. Their secondary structure includes four short double-helical elements and three loops (D, anti-codon, and T loops). Further hydrogen bonds mediate the characteristic L-shaped molecular structure. tRNAs have two regions of fundamental functional importance: the anti-codon, which is responsible for specific mRNA codon recognition, and the 3' end, to which the tRNAs corresponding amino acid is attached (by aminoacyl-tRNA synthetases). tRNAs cope with the degeneracy of the genetic code in two manners: having more than one tRNA (with a specific anti-codon) for a particular amino acid; and 'wobble' base-pairing, i.e. permitting non-standard base-pairing at the 3rd anti-codon position. The record is from RNAcentral. RNAcentral also lists the same sequence under 3 other names. Lineage: Bacteria; Bacillati; Actinomycetota; Actinomycetes; Kitasatosporales; Streptomycetaceae.
GGCCAUGUGCCCGAGUGGCUCAGGGAACCGUCUGCAAAGCGGUGUACACGGGUUCGAAUCCCGUCAUGGCCU